GGACCCCAGACUUUACCUCGGAUCUCCCCCCACGGGACUGCCACGGAGAGCUCUGAAACUGGACACAGCGCACUCUGGUUUAACAAGACUUGCGACAUCUGUCUGGUUUAGUUUCUGAUCAUGUGACCAACUGAAAGUUUCUUAAAUGCCAACCUUACCACAGGUGGGAGUGACUUGACUAAAUUCUGGAUCCAUAAAACUUUGGGAAAGUUCUCAACGAGCGCAAAGUAAAGACUGAUUUAAAACGAGCACGAGCCUCGCCGGUUACCUGCUUGUUUCAUCGUGCUGGAUGUCACGUGUCUGACGCCUUUCAAAGCCUGCAUCAUCUUAGCGCCUGAAAACACUGUAAAUAAAACCUGAC
This is a long non-coding RNA of Oreochromis niloticus (Nile tilapia), 361 nucleotides long. RefSeq lists it as uncharacterized. NCBI's taxonomy places the organism in Eukaryota, Metazoa, Chordata, Actinopteri, Cichliformes, Cichlidae. The transcript has 3 exons. The record is from RefSeq and is a predicted model, not a curated record.